AAUUCUUGAAGGGUUAAUUUACAAAUGGAUGCCUUAGGGUUGGGGUAGAGAUACCACAAAGGAUAGUGAAGUAACCUGUCACUUCCUAGCAGCCAUUUCCUUACCACAAGCACAUCUGAAGGAGAUCAAAAUCAGAAGCAAAACAUCCUGUACGGUCUGUGCUUUGUUUGAAUCAGUGGUUAAAGAUGUAGCUACUCACAGGGAAGAAGCAAGAUGAAUUAGUAUAUUGGUCUAACUUCAUCCUUCGCAGCUCCUGUUAAAGGCUCACCAUUAGCUGAGGCCAUUUAGAAGUCAGAGGACCCAGAAGACAUAAUGGACGUUAAAAAAGGUUCUUGCCAGGCCAUUAAAUUUUGAGUUCCAGAAAAGAAAAGGAAAAGUUCUCACACUGAUAAACUCUCCCUUUCCCAAACUCAUCUUCAACCCCCUUGCACUGCCUGUUUAAUUCAGCGUCAUCAGAAAAUAACCCCAAAUGUCUUGCACUCCUGGCUUCUGCUGAUAGAGCUAAGUUUAUAUAGACUCUUGGACAACAUUUCCAGGUUGCUGCUGGUCGAGCACCCUUUCACAGUUCAAGGAGAAAGGGCUUAAGACCCUGAAAAAAAAAAUUUAUAGGAAAAUUUCCCCAAAAGGUAAGCACAAUAAAAAGUCAAAAGGAGGUACGGGCUGAAGAAUGACUUCCUGCAAUGUGUAAUUUCAAGAAUUAGAGUUUGUCAAAGGUGUUAAAAAUAAAAUGAGUGUGAAUGUCCUACAAGGUUUAUGAGAAAGUUCAGAAGGAAAGUAAAGAAAGACUAAGCAGCAAGACUUUUAGUAUUCCUGUAUCCUGGAGAAGGCAGCACUCGAGCCACCAUCUUGGAAGUGAAGAUCAGGCCCUCAGCAGACACAAAACCUGCCAGUGCCAUGAUCUUGGAUUUUUCAACCUGCAGGACUAUUCAAUGAAAUUCCAAUGAAAAUCUCAAGUUAUUAUGUGAAUAUUGAAAAACGAACCCUAAAGUUUAUAUGGAGAGCCAAAAAAUGCAAAAGAGCCAGCACAUAUUGAAAGAGAAGAACAAAGUCAGAAGAUUGACACUACCUGACUUCAAGACUUAUGAUAAAGCUUCAGUAAUAAAGACAGUGUGGUAUGGACAAACUAAUAGAAAUACAGAUCAAUGGAACAGAACAGAGAACCCAGAAAUAGAUUCACAUAAAUAUAUUGUCAACUGACCUUUGACAAAUAAGAAAAAGCAAUACAGUAGAGCAAAAAUAGCCUUUUCACUAAACAAAUGAACAUCCACAUUCAAAAAAAAAAAAUGAAUCUAGAUGGAGACUUACAUGCUUCACAAAAAUUAACUCAAA
Long non-coding RNA from Homo sapiens (human), 1329 nucleotides. NCBI's taxonomy places the organism in Eukaryota, Metazoa, Chordata, Mammalia, Primates, Hominidae. The record is from Ensembl.